GCGUGAGUGAUGACGGCCUUAGGGUUGUAAAGCUCUUUCGCUCGGGACGAUAAUGACGGUACCGAGAUAAGAAGCCCCGGCUAACUUCGUGCCAGCAGCCGCGGUAAUACGAAGGGGGCUAGCGUUGUUCGGAAUUACUGGGCGUAAAGCGCGUGUAGGCGGGUCUUUAAGUCAGGGGUGAAAUGCCAAGGCUCAACCUUGGAACUGCCUUUGAUACUGGAGACCUUGAGUCCGGGAGAGGUGAGUGGAAUUGCGAGUGUAGAGGUGAAAUUCGU
This 275-nucleotide ribosomal RNA is filed under the name uncultured bacterium. RNAcentral's name for it is "partial 16S ribosomal RNA". It matches the Rfam family "Bacterial small subunit ribosomal RNA", at positions 399 to 691 of the family's 1533-position model. The record is from RNAcentral.